This is a non-coding RNA of Danio rerio (zebrafish), 3621 nucleotides long. NCBI's taxonomy places the organism in Eukaryota, Metazoa, Chordata, Actinopteri, Cypriniformes, Danionidae. The record is from RefSeq and is a predicted model, not a curated record.
AAACGAGGACAUGGAAAAUAUAUUAGAACCCGGGAUUUUCGUGCACUAAUCAUUUUGAAAUUAAGGUAGGAGUAUUAAAAAUAUUCAAACAAUUUUAAAUGACAGCAUUUAGCCUGCCCGAAAGACCAAACAAUUGAGAUUUAGAUCGAAACACCGAUUAAAAAAUCGUGUUAAAUUUAAUCUGUUGUAAUUUAACGACUAUAACCGUUUCUGCGUCUUGAAGUGUAGGCUACGCUAUUUCAUUUGGUAGAAGAAAGGAGGACACGUUUCGAAAAGAAAUGUGUGGCUAUUAAUGUAUCUAUUUCGGUUAACCAAAACCAAAUUUACCAAAAUCGAUUAAAAAGUUUAACAGCAUAUAAUUAAACCUGUCCAAUAAUCAAGCAUUAAAAAGAUUUAAGUGCAGUAAGGCCUUUAGUGAAAUAUAGAUCACAUCUCAAAAAAGCCCACCACAAAUUCACAAAGUAAGGUUUCAUUAAGAAUUUAAGAGUGCCGUAUAAGCGAUCGGUUCAUGCAGUGCAUCGAUUUGAAAAUGCAGCUAAAAAAAGUUUAAUUUAUCCACUUUAUCUAUUUUCAUUUUUAUUGUUACCCCACCUCAUGAAUAUUAAUGAGUGGCUAAUCCCCACUUAGAAUUACAUUUCAGAAUAGUGUGCGUAAAGUUUAAUAGGCAGACGGAGAGGAAACGUGAAAAGGAGUGAAGAAAAACUCGGCCCUUCCAGAAAAGAAACGAAAUCAGCACAUAGAGAGAGUCUGAGCCUCAGAGAAUCAAAGAAAGCACCUUUCAAGCCUCACUUUCCCAAAGAAAUGCCAAUAAAAUACGGUAACAGAAUAUCACGGAGGGCGCGGUGUUUCCUUAACUGUUUCUGAAAGGCUCAGAAGAUCUUAAUAAGGCUUCGCUCGGUCCUUUUGUUGAUCUCACAAAAUCAACUCAUUCUAAUUGAGGCCUGAGCUGAAAGCGACCUAAUGUUCAAAGCAAGUGACCGCCGGAGGAACGAAAUUACAUUUUUUACUAUAUGGGGCAUCCAAUCAAACGCCGGCCGGCCGGCUUUACACGUUCUUCAAUAGAUCAACAAUGUCAUCGACAAAAGUGCUCUUGGGAGUAGCAGAGAUGCUGCUGUUAGCUGUCAAUAGACGCGGAAAAACUAAAGGGAAAGUUAUUGGAUACUGCUUCAGAAGGGGGACAGGGAAUGCGCAUAUUAAAUGUUUAUCCUGCCUGUUUAAAGCGCUAGUGCCUUCAGCCCACGCUUAAAAAAGACAAAUUACACAUGCCCUUAAACUGUUUCCAAGGAUAAUAAUAAUAACAACAAAAACGUUAUCCUCAAACGAACAUAACAGAAAUAUAUAACAAUUCCUGCAUUUUGCUGGUUUACUCUGGGCCCCGAUGUUGCUAAGACCCCGUGAUAAACCCAGAACAAGUAUCAAGUUAUCAGGUUGCAAGAAGCUUUUGUAAUAAGAGUAUUUUGUCUAAUCCCAAAUUGCAGUCGAAUUUUCUAAAUGCUGAGCUCGUAAAUCUUGGGAUUAGAGGAGGCGAGAAGAGGAGGGGGAAAAGUUUGGUUUCUUUAGCCGGCAGGAUGGGAGCGGGUCGGCGAUGUUGUCGGUCCUUAUUAAAACGAUGAUGCAUAAAAUUCGAUAUUGAAGCUCACGCAGAAGGCUCGGUACCGGCGUAUUUUACCACGAAGGAAGGAUUUUCGGCGGUCGAAGGGCUUUGGUGAAGUCGAACUGUUCAGCACCUGAAGUCAGGCCGUGGACUUCAAAGCAAGAGCCACAGAUCGCGCUUCUCCGCCCGCGCUGAGAUGCUCCACUUCUCUUUGCCACGCCGUUUGGAGAGUUUUAUUAUGUGAUAAACAAUCUAUUUAAAAGAAGUCACUUUUUACCACUACUGGUUUAAGCUGGAAAACAAUAGUUGGCAACAAAAAGAACAACAAUCAGGAAUGAUCGUCACUGAAGGACGCACUUCUCCUCUUUCUUUGCCAUCUUGCCUUUGUUCUGUUCCAGGGUUCUCUCCAGGUGUUCGUCUUCCUCUUCAGCCCUGCCGACACACACACACACACACACACACACACACACACACACACACACUGGAUCAGAGGUCAUUGAUGGAGAAGCAUGAGAACAGCAGAUGCACCUUCAGUACCUAUGACCUGAACUCUGGCUGAAGGCUCACUUUGACUCCUGAAAUUCUCACAAGUCCUGACUCCACCUAAACACACUCUGUGGCAAAGAGAUGUGGGUGACUGCAAUCUGUGGCGUUUAAAACCCUCUCGGAACAACACUAUUGGGCCUAAUUCUGUCCCACAAUCCCACAGUGCCUUGCGGCAAGGAGACUCACUCUUUCUCCUGGGCGUCCAGGUCUCGGACCAGCGCAUCUCGUUUGUUGACUAGAAUGACCAGCUCAUCCAGCAGCAGCUGCUCUCGCCGCUUCUGGGCCUCUGUCUUCUGCCAGUCUGGAGGAUGGAGAGGAAAAGAGGAAUGUUAGAGGGAAAAAAACUCAGGACUUCAAAUGAUGAACAUGAACAUGACAGGCCGGCCUGUUUAUCCUGCACAGUUCUCUAUACGUUGCAUGUCAUUCACGAGCCUCCUCUAUAAUUCGCUCUGUCGUUUCUGCAACCCCUCCGUCAAGAACCACAAUGCCCACUUCACAAAGCCCUGCCUGGAGGGUAGACUGUGACCAACAAAAACUUCUCCUGCAUGUCCCAAAGAGGUAGAGGGCGAGAGAAAAAGCCCCUGGACUUUUUACCUCCUCCUCCUGUUCCCCUUCAGCGUUCUCAGCCAAAAAGCCACAGAUCCUCCCCUGCACCUCCGGCAGAGGCCGCAUGCAGCUGUCAAUCAAGCCGAGCGGCGCCGCCCCCCUCAUUAAGAAGGUAAACAAUGAAUAUGGACGCAGAGGGACAGGGCAGAGCAAACCACUGAGCGCAACUUGCCAAAAAAACACUAACGGAAGCUGCUGCCUCCUCUCUUUUCCUCCGAGAAGAGACGGACGGACUAUUUGGAGUUGGUGGUGGUGGUGGUGUUGGGUGGGAAGGGGGGGUUCAAUCCCUUUUGGAUUACUCCCCUCUUUUUCUCUCUCUCAUCGCCCUGGGCAAUCACGUUAAAACUCACAUGGUCGGUGCUUAUUCAGAUAACCCUAACAAUGCACACCAAUGGUAACCAUGUGAGCACUCACAACCCACAGAAGAAUGCGCUGGUUCAAAUCCCCAUGACCCUCCUCCACAGCAAAAUUUAUUCAAGAGUGCAACCUGCUCGGCAGCUUCAGGAGGCACAGAGCUGAGCUUCUUCUGAAAGAUCACCAAACACAAACUUCACACACAUGCGGACACAACUUUUGGAGCCAGCGGAGUGGGUUUGAACUUAUUUUGGAGGACGAAAUAACAGGAAAUAAGUAGUGUUGGAGGAAUCCAGGGAAAAUGCAUGCUCUUAUUACAGCAGAUUUGGGUGAGCAGUGGGCAGGCUGAGAGCGCCAGCAUAAGAUGGAGCUGGAGAGAGGCCAGCUGGGAACCAGACAAAGACCAACAUGGACAAGGAGGGUGACGGGACAACAGUCCCCGGAUUCUUACCCUAAAAAUACAUGAGAAUUAAAGUGACUUCAUCAAAUAAAUAAAUAAACACAAAGUGUCUGAAUGGCUA